RNAcentral lists this small nuclear RNA (322 nucleotides) under Chinchilla lanigera (long-tailed chinchilla). RNAcentral's name for it is "7SK RNA (ENSCLAG00000021624.1)". It matches the Rfam family "7SK RNA". Rfam says of the family: 7SK was discovered as an abundant small nuclear RNA in the mid-70s but a possible function has only recently been suggested. Two independent studies have found that 7SK RNA binds the CDK9/cyclin T complex (known as elongation factor P-TEFb). The record is from Rfam by way of RNAcentral. Lineage: Eukaryota; Metazoa; Chordata; Mammalia; Rodentia; Chinchillidae.
GGAUGUGAGGGCGAUCUGGCUGUGACAUCUGUUACCCCAUUGAUCACCAGGGUUGAUUUGGCUGAUCUGGCUGGCUAGGCGAGUGUCCCCUUCCUCCCUCAACCUUUCAUGUGCAUCCCUCCCGAAGCUGCAUGCUCUGUCAAAGAGGACAACCACCCCCGAUGGAGGAGGACCAUUCGUUGGUCAAGGGUAUACAAGUAGCUGCCCUCCCCUGCUGGUACCUCCAAACAUGCUCUCAAGCUAAUAUUUAUUUAUUUGUUUGUUUGUUUGGUUGGUUUUUUGAGACAGAGUCUUGCCAUGUAGUUCAGGCUGGUCUUGAACU